This 517-nucleotide ribosomal RNA is filed under the name uncultured Actinomycetes bacterium. Its description in RNAcentral is "bacterial SSU rRNA". It matches the Rfam family "Bacterial small subunit ribosomal RNA", at positions 384 to 896 of the family's 1533-position model. Lineage: Bacteria; Bacillati; Actinomycetota; Actinomycetes. The record is from RNAcentral.
UGACGCAGCGACGCCGCGUGCGGAGAAGGCCUAGGGUUGUAAACCGCUUUCAGGAGGGACGAAGCCACUCGGGUGAAUAGCCCAGAGGGUGACGGUACCUCCAGAAGAAGCCCCGGCUAACUACGUGCCAGCAGCCGCGGUAAUACGUAGGGGGCAAGCGUUGUCCGGAUUCAUUGGGCGUAAAGAGCGUGUAGGCGGCCAGGUAGGUCGGUUGUGAAAACUGGAGGCUCAACCUUCAGACGUCGACCGAAACCAUCUGGCUAGAGUCCGGGAGAGGAGAGUGGAAUUCCUGGUGUAGCGGCGAAAUGCGCAGAUAUCAGGAAGAACACCCGUGGCGAAAGCGGCUCUCUGGAACGGUACUGACGCUGAGACGCGAAAGCGUGGGGAGCGAACAGGAUUAGAUACCCUGGUAGUCCACGCCGUAAACGAUGGGCGCUAGGUGUGGGAGGUGUCGACUCCUUCCGUGCCGCAGCUAACGCAUUAAGCGCCCCGCCUGGGGAGUACGGCCGCAAGGCUA